CGGGCCGUUUCAAACAUUAGUUGAAAACACGUAACUCUGAUCCCAUCUGUAACGCGCAUGCGCAAGUUCUUAGACGCUUGCACCGGGGGCAGCGCGAGGGGAAGUGUGUCCGGGAGCAGAGCGACGUGAACUGGCUGAAACAACCACGGCUACCGGCCCCAAUACUCUGUUCCUGUGGAUGGAGGUUACAUCUGAUGGAGUUUGUCCCUGCGGUUGUCCUGCCUUACACCUGGUGUACUACUCUGAAUAUUUGAAUAAUUUCUGUCGUAGGAAUUGAACGUACUGUACAUCUUUAAGUUGUUCUUUCUGUACACACCUACUCCUCCACUGUUCACCCUUAAGUGUUGUCCAGUUGAAGAUGUGCAACAUCUGGACCAACAACAUGUACGAGGAGGCGGGGGACCUUCUUGGUUUUGCGGCG
This is a long non-coding RNA of Pungitius pungitius (ninespine stickleback), 421 nucleotides long. RefSeq lists it as uncharacterized. The record is from RefSeq and is a predicted model, not a curated record. The transcript is spliced from 3 exons. Lineage: Eukaryota; Metazoa; Chordata; Actinopteri; Perciformes; Gasterosteidae.